This is a non-coding RNA of Orcinus orca (killer whale), 73 nucleotides long. The record is from the annotation of a RefSeq genome assembly. NCBI's taxonomy places the organism in Eukaryota, Metazoa, Chordata, Mammalia, Artiodactyla, Delphinidae.
UCCCCGGUAGUCCAGUGGUCAGGACUCGGUGCUCUCACUGCCAGGGGCCCAGGUUCAAUUCCUGGUCGGGGAA